Molecule: ribosomal RNA, 465 nt
Filed under: Vreelandella stevensii
Lineage: Bacteria; Pseudomonadati; Pseudomonadota; Gammaproteobacteria; Oceanospirillales; Halomonadaceae
Description: partial 16S ribosomal RNA
Rfam family: Bacterial small subunit ribosomal RNA
Source: RNAcentral
CCUACGGCGAGCAGCAGUGGGGAAUAUUGGACAAUGGGCGAAAGCCUGAUCCAGCCAUGCCGCGUGUGUGAAGAAGGCCUUCGGGUUGUAAAGCGCUUUCAGUGGGGAAGAAAGCCUUGGGGCUAAUACCCUCGAGGAAGGACAUCACCCACAGAAGAAGCACCGGCUAACUCCGUGCCAGCAGCCGCGGUAAUACGGAGGGUGCGAGCGUUAAUCGGAAUUACUGGGCGUAAAGCGCGCGUAGGCGGUCUGAUAAGCCGGUUGUGAAAGCCCCGGGCUCAACCUGGGAACGGCAUCCGGAACUGUCAGGCUAGAGUGCAGGAGAGGAAGGUAGAAUUCCCGGUGUAGCGGUGAAAUGCGUAGAGAUCGGGAGGAAUACCAGUGGCGAAGGCGGCCUUCUGGACUGACACUGACGCUGAGGUGCGAAAGCGUGGGUAGCAAACAGGAUUAGAUACCCCGGUAGUC